UACAGAGGGGGCAAGCGUUAUUCGGAAUUAUUGGGCGUAAAGGGCGCGUAGGCGGCUUUGCAAGUGACGGGUGAAAUCCCACGGCUUAACCGUGGAACUGCCUGUCAGACUGCAUGGCUUGAGACCAGGAGAGGUGAGUGGAAUUCCCAGUGUAGCGGUGAAAUGCGUAGAUAUCGGGAGGAACACCAAUGGCGAAGGCAGCUCGCUGGGACGUUACUGACGCUGAGACGCGAAAGCGUGGGGAGCAAACAGG
RNAcentral lists this ribosomal RNA (253 nucleotides) under uncultured bacterium. RNAcentral's name for it is "partial 16S ribosomal RNA". It matches the Rfam family "Bacterial small subunit ribosomal RNA", at positions 524 to 776 of the family's 1533-position model. The record is from RNAcentral.